This 440-nucleotide ribosomal RNA is filed under the name uncultured bacterium. Its description in RNAcentral is "partial 16S ribosomal RNA". It matches the Rfam family "Bacterial small subunit ribosomal RNA", at positions 338 to 795 of the family's 1533-position model. The record is from RNAcentral.
CCUACGGGAGGCAGCAGUGGGGAAUAUUGCGCAAUGUGGGAAACCCUGAUGCAGCAACGCCGCGUGAGUGAAGGAGUAUUUCUGUAUUUAAAGCUCUAUCAGCAGGGAAGAAGAAAGACGGUACCUGACUCAGGAGCACCGGCUAACUACGUUCCAGAAGCCGCGGUAAUACGGGGGCUGCGAGCGUUGUCCGGAUUUAUUGGGUUAAAAGGUUGCGCAGGCGGAAGCUCAAGUCGGCGGUAAAAUUGAGAUGCUCAACCUCUUCGAGCCGUUGACACUGGUUGUCUUGAGUGAGUGAGAAGGAUGAGGAAUGCGUGGUGUAGCGGUGAAAUGCAUAGAUAUCACGAAGAACUCCGAUGGCGAAGGCAGCAUACCGGCGCUCAACUGACGCUCAGGCACGAAAGUGUGGGUAUCGAACAGGAUUAGAUACCCGGGUAGUC